CGUCGCGGUUUUUCCCCAGGGGUCACACCCGUUCCCAUCCCGAACACGGCCGUUAAGACCUGGAGGGCCGAUGAUACUGCUCUGCACAGGAGUGGAAAAGUAGGUCGCUGCGACGU
RNAcentral lists this ribosomal RNA (116 nucleotides) under Geothrix sp. The record is from RNAcentral. Lineage: Bacteria; Pseudomonadati; Acidobacteriota; Holophagae; Holophagales; Holophagaceae.